RNAcentral lists this ribosomal RNA (433 nucleotides) under uncultured bacterium. RNAcentral's name for it is "partial 16S ribosomal RNA". It matches the Rfam family "Bacterial small subunit ribosomal RNA", at positions 29 to 507 of the family's 1533-position model. The record is from RNAcentral.
AACGAACGCUGGCGGCAUGCCUAACACAUGCAAGUCGAACGAGACCUUCGGGUCUAGUGGCGCACGGGUGCGUAACGCGUGGGAACCUGCACUUAGGUUCGGAAUAACUCCCCGAAAGGGGUGCUAAUACCGGAUAAUGUCUUCGGACCAAAGAUUUAUUGCCUUUGGAUGGGCCCGCGUUGGAUUAGCUAGUUGGUAGGGUAAAAGCCUACUACGGCGACGAUUCAUAGCUGGUCUGAGAGGAUGAUCAGACACACUGGGACUGAGACACGGCCCAGACUCCUACGGGAGGCAGCAGUGGGGAAUAUUGGACAGUGGGCGAAAGCCUGAUCCAGCAAUGCCGCGUGAGUGAUGAAGGCUUGAGGGUUGUAAAGCUCUUUUACCCGGGAUGAUAAUGACAGUACCGGGAGAAUAAGCUCCGGCUAACUCCGUG